Molecule: ribosomal RNA, 499 nt
Filed under: uncultured bacterium
Lineage: Bacteria
Description: partial 16S ribosomal RNA
Rfam family: Bacterial small subunit ribosomal RNA
Source: RNAcentral
AUUGAACGCUGGCGGCAUGCCUUACACAUGCAAGUCGAACGGUAACAGGUCUUCGGAUGCUGACGAGUGGCGAACGGGUGAGUAAUACAUCGGAACGUGCCUAGUAGUGGGGGAUAACUACUCGAAAGAGUGGCUAAUACCGCAUGAGAUCUACGGAUGAAAGCAGGGGAUCGCAAGACCUUGUGCUACUAGAGCGGCCGAUGGCAGAUUAGGUAGUUGGUGGGAUAAAAGCUUACCAAGCCGACGAUCUGUAGCUGGUCUGAGAGGACGAUCAGCACACACUGGGACUGAGACACGGCCCAGACUCCUACGGGAGGCAGCAGUGGGGAAUUUUGGACAAUGGGCGAAAGCCUGAUCCAGCAAUGCCGCGUGCGGGAUGAAGGCCUUCGGGUUGUAAACUGCUUUUGUACGGGACGAAAAGCCCCGGGUUAAUACCCUGGGGUCAUGACGGUACCGUAAGAAUAAGCACCGGCUAACUACGUGCCAGCCGCCGCAGUAA